ACGGGUGAGUAACACGUGGGUAACCUGCCUGUAAGACUGGGAUAACUCCGGGAAACCGGGGCUAAUACCGGAUGCUUGAUUGAACCGCAUGGUUCAAUUAUAAAAGGUGGCUUUUAGCUACCACUUACAGAUGGACCCGCGGCGCAUUAGCUAGUUGGUGAGGUAACGGCUCACCAAGGCAACGAUGCGUAGCCGACCUGAGAGGGUGAUCGGCCACACUGGGACUGAGACACGGCCCAGACUCCUACGGGAGGCAGCAGUAGGGAAUCUUCCGCAAUGGACGAAAGUCUGACGGAGCAACGCCGCGUGAGUGAUGAAGGUUUUCGGAUCGUAAAACUCUGUUGUUAGGGAAGAACAAGUACCGUUCGAAUAGGGCGGUACCUUGACGGUACCUAACCAGAAAGCCACGGCUAACUACGUGCCAGCAGCCGCGGUAAUACGUAGGUGGCAAGCGUUGUCCGGAAUUAUUGGGCGUAAAGCGCGCGCAGGCGGUUUCUUAAGUCUGAUGUGAAAGCCCCCGGCUCAACCGGGGAGGGUCAUUGGAAACUGGGGAACUUGAGUGCAGAAGAGGAGAGUGGAAUUCCACGUGUAGCGGUGAAAUGCGUAGAGAUGUGGAGGAACACCAGUGGCGAAGGCGACUCUCUGGUCUGUAACUGACGCUGAGGCGCGAAAGCGUGGGGAGCGAACAGGAUUAGAUACCCUGGUAGUCCAC
This 712-nucleotide ribosomal RNA is filed under the name Bacillus paralicheniformis. RNAcentral's name for it is "bacterial SSU rRNA". It matches the Rfam family "Bacterial small subunit ribosomal RNA", at positions 102 to 798 of the family's 1533-position model. Lineage: Bacteria; Bacillati; Bacillota; Bacilli; Caryophanales; Bacillaceae. The record is from RNAcentral.